This 437-nucleotide long non-coding RNA is filed under the name Sinocyclocheilus grahami. RNAcentral's name for it is "lncRNA (ENSSGRG00000006372.1)". The record is from RNAcentral. Lineage: Eukaryota; Metazoa; Chordata; Actinopteri; Cypriniformes; Cyprinidae.
UCUGAGAAGUUUUGUAAUAUUUUACUUGUUUCAGAUUUGUCAACCAAAAAUGGUCCAUUUGACAUCGAUGUUGGAGACAGAGUCAGAGUGAAGCCUUCCAUUACCACCCCAAAACAUAACUGGGGUAGAAACGUCACUCAUAAGAGUGUGGGUGUGGUGAAAGACAUAAAAGAUGAUGACAGUGUGGUUGUUGACUUCCCUGGACAUGCAAACUGGAAAGGAAUUAUCACUGAAAUGGAGCUAGUAACUAAUGAUGAUGAUGAUGAGAUUGGACCUUCAAGUCUGGACUCCAAUAUUAAGAUUGGAGACAAAGUUCGUGUGAAGCCGUCUGUUGUUUCUCCAACCCACAAAUGGGGAGCAGUCACUCACAAAAGCAUUGGUGUUGUUAAAAAAAUUCAGGGCGACUCCUUGACUGUAGAUUUCCCUGAGCAAAAAAA